RNAcentral lists this ribosomal RNA (635 nucleotides) under uncultured Bacteroidota bacterium. Its description in RNAcentral is "bacterial SSU rRNA". It matches the Rfam family "Bacterial small subunit ribosomal RNA", at positions 8 to 636 of the family's 1533-position model. The record is from RNAcentral. Lineage: Bacteria; Pseudomonadati; Bacteroidota.
AGAGUUUGAUCCUGGCUCAGGAUGAACGCUAGCGGGAGGCUUAACACAUGCAAGUCGUGGGGCAGCACAGGUAGCAAUACUGGGUGGCGACCGGCGCACGGGUGAGUAACGCGUAUGUAACCUACCCUGUACAGGGGGAUAGCCCGGAGAAAUUCGGAUUAAUACCCCAUAAUGAUACCGAGGGGCAUCUUUUGGUAUUUAAAGUUUCGGCGGUACAGGAUGGGCAUGCGUAACAUUAGCUAGUUGGUAGGGUAACGGCCUACCAAGGCGACGAUGUUUAGGGGUCCUGAGAGGGUGAUCCCCCACACUGGUACUGAGACACGGACCAGACUCCUACGGGAGGCAGCAGAGAGGAAUAUUGGUCAAUGGGCGCAAGCCUGAACCAGCCAUCCCGCGUGAAGGAAGACGGCCCUAUGGGUUGUAGACUUCUUUUCCAGGGGAAUAAAAUGAACUACGUGUAGUUUACUGAAAGUACUCUGGGAAUAAGCAUCGGCUAACUCCGUGCCAGCAGCCGCGGUAAUACGGAGGAUGCGAGCGUUAUCCGGAUUUAUGGGGUUAAAGGGUGCGUACGCGGAUCAAUAAGUCAGUGGUGAAAAACUGCAGCCUAAACUGUAGANCUGCCAAUUGAUACCUGU